RNAcentral lists this ribosomal RNA (403 nucleotides) under uncultured bacterium. Its description in RNAcentral is "bacterial SSU rRNA". It matches the Rfam family "Bacterial small subunit ribosomal RNA", at positions 355 to 775 of the family's 1533-position model. The record is from RNAcentral.
UAGGGAAUAUUAGAAAUGGACGAAAGUCUGAUCUAGCAACACCGCGUGUGCGAAGAAGGCCUUUGGGUCGUAAAGCACUUUUUGGAAGGAAUAGGAAGGAAUGUACUUCCAGAAUAAGUCUCGGCUAACUACGUGCCAGCAGCCGCGGUAACACGUAGGAGGCAAACGUUAUCCGGAUUUACUGGGCGUAAAGCGCGUGUAGGUGGUACUGUAAGUAGGGCAUGAAAGCUCCUGGCUCAACUGGGAGAGGCUGUUCUAAACUACAGAACUAGAGGAUGGUAGAGGGAGGUGGAAUUCCAGGUGUAGCGGUGGAAUGCGCAGAUAUCUGGAGGAACACCGGUGGCGAAGGCGGCCUCCUGGACCAUUCCUGACACUCAGACGCGAAAGCUAGGGUAGCAAACGG